RNAcentral lists this ribosomal RNA (854 nucleotides) under Staphylococcus haemolyticus. Its description in RNAcentral is "bacterial SSU rRNA". It matches the Rfam family "Bacterial small subunit ribosomal RNA", at positions 94 to 935 of the family's 1533-position model. Lineage: Bacteria; Bacillati; Bacillota; Bacilli; Caryophanales; Staphylococcaceae. The record is from RNAcentral.
AGCGGCGAGACGGGUGAGUAACACGUGGGUAACCUACCUAUAAGACUGGAAUAACUCCGGGAAACCGGGGCUAAUGCCGGAUAACAUUUAAAACCGCAUGGUUCUAAAGUGAAAGAUGGUUUUGCUAUCACUUAUAAAUGGACCCGCGCCGUAUUAGCUAGUUGGUAAGGUAACGGCUUACCAAGGCAACGAUACGUACCCGACCUGAAAGGGUGAUCGGCCACACUGGAACUGAAACACGGUCCAAACUCCUACGGGAGGCAGCAGUAGGGAAUCUUCCGCAAGGGGCAAAAGCCUGACGGACCACCGCCGCGGGAGUGAUGAAGGUCUUCGGAUCGUAAAACUCUGUUAUUAGGGAAAAACAAAUGUGUAAGUAACUAUGCACGUCUUGACGGUACCUAAUCAGAAAGCCACGGCUAACUACGUGCCAGCAGCCGCGGUAAUACGUAGGUGGCAAGCGUUAUCCGGAAUUAUUGGGCGUAAAGGGCGCGUAGGCGGUUUCUUAAGUCUGAUGUGAAAGCCCACGGCUCAACCGGGGAGGGUCAUUGGAAACUGGGGAACUUGAGUGCAGAAGAGGAAAGUGGAAUUCCAUGUGUAGCGGUGAAAUGCGCAGAGAUAUGGAGGAACACCAGUGGCGAAGGCGACUCUCUGGUCUGUAACUGACGCUGAUGUGCGAAAGCGUGGGGAUCAAACAGGAUUAGAUACCCUGGUAGUCCACGCCGUAAACGAUGAGUGCUAAGUGUUAGGGGGUUUCCGCCCCUUAGUGCUGCAGCUAACGCAUUAAGCACUCCGCCUGGGGAGUACGACCGCAGGAUUGAACUCAAGGAAUUGACGGGGACCCGCACAAGCGGUGA